AAUUUUUUUUUUUAAUUUAUUGAAACCAUUUAAAUAGAAAAAAAAAUCCUUUUAAAAAAAAAUCCUUUUAGUUGUCAAACGAGUACCCCCUUAAACUACGUAAAUAAGGGGUACCCCUUGAAUUCUAUAAUUUAUUAAAAUUAAUUAAAUAAAAUUUCUUUCUUGAAAGUUCCCCAAAAUCACUUCAUCCGUUUUCACCUCACUAGUUUUAAAGUUAAAAAAAAAAUCAUCCAACAAAAGGACUUUCAUAAAAUUAAUCUUAAUUGGCAAGGUUCUACUUCUUAAAACCUUUUAACUUUGGAGAAGUACUCUAGAGU
Molecule: unclassified non-coding RNA, 317 nt
Filed under: Hevea brasiliensis (rubber tree)
Lineage: Eukaryota; Viridiplantae; Streptophyta; Magnoliopsida; Malpighiales; Euphorbiaceae
Source: RNAcentral